AGUUCGAUUGUAAACCAGAUUGAACGCUGGCGGGAUGCUUUACACAUGCAAGUCGAACGGCAGCACGGACUUCGGUCUGGUUGGCGGUGGCGAACGGGUGAGUAAUGUAUCGGAACGUGCCUAGUAGCGGGGGAUAACUACGCGAAAGCGUAGCUAAUACAGCAUACGCCCUUCGGGGGAAAGCAGGGGACCUUCGGGCCUCGCACUGUUAGAGCGGCCGAUAUCGGAUUAGCUGGUUGGUGGGGUAACGGCUCACCAAGGCGACGAUCCGUGGCUGGUUUGAGAGGACGACCAGCCACUGGGACGGAACCCACGGCCCAGACUCCUACGGGAGGCAGCAGUGGGGGAAUUUUGGACAAUGAGGAAACCUGAUCCAGCCAUCCGCGUGUGCAGAUGAAGGCCUUCGGGUUGUAAAGCACUUUGGCAGGAAAGAAACGGCACGGGAUAAUACGUGCAACUGACGGUACCUGCAGAAUAAGCACCGGCUAACUACGUGCCAGCAGCCGCGGUAAUACGUAGGGUGCAAGCGUUAAUCAGAUUACUGGGCGUAAAGCAUUGCGCGAGCGGUUCCCGGAAAGAAAGAUGCUUGAAAUCCCAGGCUUAACUUUGGAACUGCAUUUAACUACCGAGCUAGAGUGUCAGAGGGAGGUGGGAUUCCGCGUGUAGCAGUGAAAUGCGUAUGAAUGCCGGAGGAACACCGAUGGCGAAGGCAGCGCUCGCGGAUAACACUGACGCUCAUGCACGAAAGCGUGGGGAGCAAACAGGAUUAGAUACCUGGUGAUCCACGCCUAAACGAUGUCAACUAGCUGUUGGGAGCCUUCGGGCCUUGGUAGCGCAGCUAACGCGCGUGAAGUUGACCGCCUGGGGUAGGUCGCAAGAUUAAAACUCAAAGGAAUUGACGGGGACCCGCACAAGCGGUGGAUGAUGUGGAUUAAUUCGAUGCAACGCGAAAACCUUACCUACCCUUGACAUGUCUGGAAUCCCGAAGAGAUUUGGGAGUGCUCGCAAGAGAACCGGAACACAGGUGCUGCAUGGCUAUCGUCAGCUCGUGUCGUGAGAUGUUGGGUUAAGUCCCGCAACGAGCGCAACCCUUGUCAUUAGUUGCUACGAAGAAGGGCACUCUAAUGAGACUGCCGGUGACAAACCGGAGGAAGGUGGGGAUGACGUCAAGUCCUCAUGGCCCGCCCUUGGGUAGGGCACCACACGUCGCGCAAUGGUCGGGACAGAGGGUCGCCAACCCCGCGAGGGAGCCAAUCCCAGAAACCCGAUCGUAGUCCGGAUCGCGGUCUACCAACUCGACUGCGUGAAGUCCAGAUCGCUAGUAAUCGCGGAUCAGCAUGUCGCGGUGAAUACGUUCCCGGGUCUUGUACACACCGCCCGUCACACCAUGGGAGUGGGUUUUGCAGAAGUAGUUAGCCUAACCGUAAGGAGGGCGAUUGCACGGUAGGAUUCAUGACUGGGGUGAAGUCGUAACAAAGUG
Molecule: ribosomal RNA, 1480 nt
Filed under: uncultured Bordetella sp.
Lineage: Bacteria; Pseudomonadati; Pseudomonadota; Betaproteobacteria; Burkholderiales; Alcaligenaceae
Description: partial 16S-23S ribosomal RNA intergenic spacer
Rfam family: Bacterial small subunit ribosomal RNA
Source: RNAcentral